CACGUAGGCACCAAGCGUUGUCCGGAUUUAUUGGGCGUAAAGAGCUCGUAGGCGGUUCGGUAAGUCGGGUGUGAAAACUCUGGGCUCAACCCAGAGCCGCCACCCGAUACUGCUGUGACUCGAGUGCGGUAGGGGAGCGGGGAAUUCCUGGUGUAGCGGUGAAAUGCGCAGAUAUCAGGAGGAACACCAGUGGCGAAGGCGGUUACCUGGAGCUUUGCUGACGCUGAUGCGCGAAAGCGUGGGGAGCGAUCCGG
Molecule: ribosomal RNA, 254 nt
Filed under: uncultured bacterium
Lineage: Bacteria
Description: partial 16S ribosomal RNA
Rfam family: Bacterial small subunit ribosomal RNA
Source: RNAcentral